This 253-nucleotide ribosomal RNA is filed under the name uncultured bacterium. RNAcentral's name for it is "partial 16S ribosomal RNA". It matches the Rfam family "Bacterial small subunit ribosomal RNA", at positions 524 to 776 of the family's 1533-position model. The record is from RNAcentral.
UACAGAGGUCCCAAGCGUUGUUCGGAUUCACUGGGCGUAAAGGGCGCGUAGGUGGCGCGGUAAGCGUGCGGUGAAAGCCUGGGGCUCAACCCCGGGUCGGCCGUGCGAACUGCUGGGCUUGAGCACUGUAGAGGCAGGCGGAAUUCCGGGUGUAGCGGUGGAAUGCGUAGAGAUCCGGAAGAACACCGGUGGCGAAGGCGGCCUGCUGGGCAGUUGCUGACACUGAGGCGCGACAGCGUGGGGAGCAAACAGG